AACGAACGCUGGCGGCAUGCCUAACACAUGCCAGUCGAACGAGACCUUCGGGUCUAGUGGCGCACGGGUGCGUAACGCGUGGGAACCUGCCCUUAGGUUCGGAAUAACUCCCCGAAAGGGGUGCUAAUACCGGAUAAUGUCUUCGGACCAAAGAUUUAUCGCCUUUGGAUGGGCCCGCGUUGGAUUAGCUAGUUGGUAGGGUAAAAGCCUACCAAGGCGACGAUCCAUAGCUGGUCUGAGAGGAUGAUCAGCCACACUGGGACUGAGACACGGCCCAGACUCCUACGGGAGGCAGCAGUGGGGAAUAUGGGACAAGGGGCGAAAGCCUGAUCCAGCAAGGCCGGGUGGUUGAUGAAGGCCUUAGGUUUGUAAAGCUCUUUUACCCGGGAUGAUAAGAACAUAACCGGGAGAAUAAGCUCCGGCGAACUCCUG
RNAcentral lists this ribosomal RNA (432 nucleotides) under uncultured bacterium. RNAcentral describes it as "partial 16S ribosomal RNA". It matches the Rfam family "Bacterial small subunit ribosomal RNA", at positions 29 to 506 of the family's 1533-position model. The record is from RNAcentral.